AGUCUGACCUGCCCACUGAAAUUUUUAAAUGGCCGCAGUAUUCUAACUGUGCAAAGGUASCAUAAUCAUUAGUCUUUUAAUUGAAGGCUGGUAUGAACGGUUGGACGAGGUAUAAGCUGUUUCAUAUAAAUUUAUAAUAGAAUUUUAUAUUUUAGUCAAAAAGCUAAAAUAUUAUUAAAAGACGAGAAGACCCUAUAAAUCUUUAUAUUUUUUUUUAUUUAAAUUUUUUGGAUUUAUUUUAUUUUUAUAAUGGAGAAUAUUUUGUUGGGGUGAUGUUAAAAUUUAAUGAACUUUUAAUUAUAAAAAUCAUUAAUUUAUGAGUUAUUGAUCCAUUAGUAGUGAUUAUAARAUUAAGUUACUUUAGGGAUAACAGCGUAAUUUUUUUGGARAGUUCAUAUCGAUAAAAAAGUUUGCGACCYCGAUGUUGGAUUAAGAUAUAAUUUUAGGUGUAGCCGCUUAAAU
RNAcentral lists this ribosomal RNA (462 nucleotides) under Zeugodacus cucurbitae (melon fly). RNAcentral's name for it is "partial large subunit ribosomal RNA". Lineage: Eukaryota; Metazoa; Arthropoda; Insecta; Diptera; Tephritidae. The record is from RNAcentral.